RNAcentral lists this ribosomal RNA (119 nucleotides) under Propithecus coquereli (Coquerel's sifaka). The record is from RNAcentral. Lineage: Eukaryota; Metazoa; Chordata; Mammalia; Primates; Indriidae.
AUCUAUGACCAUACCACCCUGAAUGUGCCUGAUCUUGUCUGAUCUCAGAAGGUAAGUAGGGUCGGGCCUGGUUAGUACUUGGAUGGGAGACCACCUGGGAAUACCGGAUGCUGUAGGCU